Molecule: ribosomal RNA, 527 nt
Filed under: uncultured bacterium
Lineage: Bacteria
Description: bacterial SSU rRNA
Rfam family: Bacterial small subunit ribosomal RNA
Source: RNAcentral
UCGAGUGGAUUCACAUCCACGGCGGACGGCUGCGUAACACGUGGAUACCUGCCUCGUACUCAGGGAUAUCCCUCCGAAAGGAGGAGUAAUACCGGAUGGUCCCGAAAGGGUAAAGAUUUAUCGGUACGAGAGGGGUCUGCGGCCUAUCAGUUAGUUGGUGGGGUAAUGGCCUACCAAGACGAUGACGGGUAGCUGGUCUGAGAGGACGACCAGCCAGAAUGGAACUGAGACACGGUCCAUACUCCUACGGGAGGCAGCAGUUAGGAAUCUUCCGCAAUGGGCGAAAGCCUGACGGAGCGACGCCGCGUGGAGGACGAAGCCCUUACCGGGUGUAAACUCCUGUUGUGAGGGACGAAAUUUUUGACGGUACCUCACGAGAAAGCACCGGCUAAUUCUGUGCCAGCAGCCGCGGUAAGACAGAAGGUGCAAGCGUUACUCGGAAUUACUGGGCGUAAAGCGUCUGUAGGUGUCCUGUCACGUCUGAGGACAAAUCGCGGGGCUCAACCCCGCGCCCUUCUUGGAUACGA